GACGAACGCUGGCGGCGUGCCUAAUACAUGCAAGUAGAACGCUGAAGGAGGAGCUUGCUUCUCUGGAUGAGUUGCGAACGGGUGAGUAACGCGUAGGUAACCUGCCUGGUAGCGGGGGAUAACUAUUGGAAACGAUAGCUAAUACCGCAUAACAGUAGAUAUCGCAUGAUAGCUGCUUGAAAGGUGCAAUUGCACCACUACCGAUGGACCUGCGUUGUAUUAGCUAGUUGGUGAGGUAACGGCUCACCAAGGCAACGAUACAUAGCCGACCUGAGAGGGUGAUCGGCCACACUGGGACUGAGACACGGCCCAGACUCCUACGGGAGGCAGCAGUAGGGAAUCUUCGGCAAUGGACGGAAGUGUUGAGGUGAGCAACGCCGCGUGAGUGAAGAAGGUUUUCGGAUCGUAAAGCUCUGUUGUAAGAGAAGAACGAGUGUGAGAGUGGAAAUGUUCACCAGGGGUGA
This 464-nucleotide ribosomal RNA is filed under the name Streptococcus infantis. RNAcentral describes it as "bacterial SSU rRNA". It matches the Rfam family "Bacterial small subunit ribosomal RNA", at positions 28 to 476 of the family's 1533-position model. Lineage: Bacteria; Bacillati; Bacillota; Bacilli; Lactobacillales; Streptococcaceae. The record is from RNAcentral.